UACGAAGGGGGCUAGCGUUGUUCGGAAUCACUGGGCGUAAAGCGCACGUAGGCGGAUUGUUAAGUCGGGGGUGAAAUCCCAGGGCUCAACCCUGGAACUGCCUUCGAUACUGGUGGUCUGGAGUCCGGGAGAGGUGAGUGGAACUCCUAGUGUAGAGGUGAAAUUCGUAGAUAUUAGGAAGAACACCAGUGGCGAAGGCGGCUCACUGGCCCGGUACUGACGCUGAGACGCGAAAGCGUGGGGAGCGAACAGG
This 253-nucleotide ribosomal RNA is filed under the name uncultured bacterium. Its description in RNAcentral is "partial 16S ribosomal RNA". It matches the Rfam family "Bacterial small subunit ribosomal RNA", at positions 524 to 776 of the family's 1533-position model. The record is from RNAcentral.